CGCCGCCCAACUCCUUUCUCCUUUCCCCGCAGGACUACCUUUCCUCGAGUGACAGCCCUGCUCUCCUCAGGAACUCACCCCUGGCUACAGAGUGCGGUGGCGCCAGCACAGAGCUCUGCUCAACGUCCCUCUGUGCUUUCACGAUGCUGAUGGAUUAUGAAGUCCACAGACAGCAAGGGCAGUAUCACUGCAGUGGCAGUCGCAGAUGGACUUUCAGUCGCCUCUAGGAGCUCCACCCCACAGAAACACAGACAGCAGCCAGUGGAAAUGUUCAGCUGAGUGUGAGGUGCCUGCACUGUGGGCCCAAGCCAGGAGCCCUGCCUGGUGAAGAGUAGCAGGUGGGAGCUCACAGGGAAGAGAGACUGAAAUUCUUUCCAUAUAUCCCCUGCUGUGUGCUGGAGGCAUCAGGGAAGUGACCAGGUCCCUUUGUUCCUUCUGCAGCCCAAGGGCAAUAAGGGUGGUAUUGCUGCAGCUGCAAUGGCAGAGGGGCUGUGGGUUGCCUCUGGGAUUUCCUCCCCAGAGAAGCACACAGCCAACACUGACUAAAAUGUUCAGGCAGGGCCAGGGUGGCUGUGCUCUGCCCAGUGAA
This 589-nucleotide long non-coding RNA is filed under the name Homo sapiens (human). RNAcentral's name for it is "HSALNT0338168". The record is from RNAcentral. Lineage: Eukaryota; Metazoa; Chordata; Mammalia; Primates; Hominidae.